Molecule: unclassified non-coding RNA, 219 nt
Filed under: Hevea brasiliensis (rubber tree)
Lineage: Eukaryota; Viridiplantae; Streptophyta; Magnoliopsida; Malpighiales; Euphorbiaceae
Source: RNAcentral
AGGACGACAGAUGCCCGCGGCAAUGAUCGAGGAUGUCCUUGGUUCCUACGUUCGUGCCCGUCCUGGCAACAACGAACAAUGCCGGCACCUCGCCUAAAUGCUCAUGGGGAAUUCCAACCACCGCGCUGUCGACCACAUUCUCGAUCGUAUUGACGACUUCCUCAAUUUCAGCCGGCGCGAUGUUCUGGCCGCCACGAAUGAUCAAUUCCUUCAAGCGUC